Molecule: ribosomal RNA, 464 nt
Filed under: uncultured bacterium
Lineage: Bacteria
Description: partial 16S ribosomal RNA
Rfam family: Bacterial small subunit ribosomal RNA
Source: RNAcentral
ACGAACGCUGGCGGCGUGCUUAACACAUGCAAGUCGCACGGAAAGGCCCUGCUUGCAGGGUACUCGAGUGGCGAACGGGUGAGUAACACGUGGGUGAUCUGCCCUGCACUUCGGGAUAAGCCUGGGAAACUGGGUCUAAUACCGGAUAGGAGCCAUUUUUAGUGUGAUGGUUGGAAAGUUUUUUCGGUGUAGGAUGAGCUCGCGGCCUAUCAGCUUGUUGGUGGGGUAAUGGCCUACCAAGGCGGCGACGGGUAGCCGGCCUGGGAGGGUGGACGGCCACAUUGGGACUGAGAUACGGCCCAGACUCCUACGGGAGGCAGCAGUGGGGAAUAUUGCACAAUGGGCGCAAGCCUGAUGCAGCGACGCCGCGUGGGGGAUGACGGCCUUCGGGUUGUAAACUCCUUUCGCUAGGGACGAAGCUUUUUGUGACGGUACCUAGAUAAGAAGCACCGGCUAACUACGUG